AAAGGGGCUUCGGCUCCGAGUAAAGUGGCGCACGGGUGAGUAAUACGUGGGUAACCUGCCUCUAAGACCGGGACAACUUGUCGAAAGACGAGCUAAUACCGGAUAAGACCACAGUUCCCGAGGGGACAGAGGUCAAAGGUAGCCUCUAUUUAUACGCAAUCGCUUAGAGAUGGGCCCGCGCACCAUUAGCUAGUUGGUGGGGUAAUGGCCCACCAAGGCAAAGAUGGUUAGCUGGUCUGAGAGGAUGAUCAGCCACACUGGAACUGAGACACGGUCCAGACUCCUACGGGAGGCAGCAGUGGGGAAUAUUGCGCAAUGGGCGAAAGCCUGACGCAGCAACGCCGCGUGAGUGAUGAAGGCCCUCGGG
Molecule: ribosomal RNA, 367 nt
Filed under: uncultured bacterium
Lineage: Bacteria
Description: bacterial SSU rRNA
Rfam family: Bacterial small subunit ribosomal RNA
Source: RNAcentral